CAUAGGUUAAUGAGGCGAACCGGGGGAACUGAAACAUCUAAGUACCCCGAGGAAAAGAAAUCAACCGAGAUUCCCCCAGUAGCGGCGAGCGAACGGGGAGCAGCCCAGAGCCUGAAUCAGUGUGUGUGUUAGUGGAAGCGUCUGGAAAGGCGCGCGAUACAGGGUGACAGCCCCGUACACAAAAAUGCACAUGCUGUGAGCUCGAUGAGUAGGGCGGGACACGUGGUAUCCUGUCUGAAUAUGGGGGGACCAUCCUCCAAGGCUAAAUACUCCUGACUGACCGAUAGUGAACCAGUACCGUGAGGGAAAGGCGAAAAGAACCCCGGCGAGGGGAGUGAAAAAGAACCUGAAACCGUGUACGUACAAGCAGUGGGAGCACGCUUAGGCGUGUGACUGCGUACCUUUUGUAUAAUGGGUCAGCGACUUAUAUUCUGUAGCAAGGUUAACCGAAUAGGGGAGCCGAAGGGAAACCGAGUCUUAACUGGGCGUUAAGUUGCAGGGUAUAGACCCGAAACCCGGUGAUCUAGCCAUGGGCAGGUUGAAGGUUGGGUAACACUAACUGGAGGACCGAACCGACUAAUGUUGAAAAAUUAGCGGAUGACUUGUGGCUGGGGGUGAAAGGCCAAUCAAACCGGGAGAUAGCUGGUUCUCCCCGAAAGCUAUUUAGGUAGCGCCUCGUGAAUUCAUCUCCGGGGGUAGAGCACUGUUUCGGCAAGGGGGUCAUCCCGACUUACCAACCCGAUGCAAACUGCGAAUACCGGAGAAUGUUAUCACGGGAGACACACGGCGGGUGCUAACGUCCGUCGUGAAGAGGGAAACAACCCAGACCGCCAGCUAAGGUCCCAAAGUCAUGGUUAAGUGGGAAACGAUGUGGGAAGGCCCAGACAGCCAGGAUGUUGGCUUAGAAGCAGCCAUCAUUUAAAGAAAGCGUAAUAGCUCACUGGUCGAGUCGGCCUGCGCGGAAGAUGUAACGGGGCUAAACCAUGCACCGAAGCUGCGGCAGCGACGCUGAUGCGUUGUUGGGUAGGGGAGCGUUCUGUAAGCCUGCGAAGGUG
This 1055-nucleotide ribosomal RNA is filed under the name Escherichia coli. RNAcentral's name for it is "partial 23S ribosomal RNA". It matches the Rfam family "Bacterial large subunit ribosomal RNA", at positions 165 to 1258 of the family's 2925-position model. Lineage: Bacteria; Pseudomonadati; Pseudomonadota; Gammaproteobacteria; Enterobacterales; Enterobacteriaceae. The record is from RNAcentral.